Lutzomyia longipalpis is the source of this 88-nucleotide non-coding RNA. Lineage: Eukaryota; Metazoa; Arthropoda; Insecta; Diptera; Psychodidae. The record is from Rfam.
GAAUCUUCAUGAGGGGUGGGUGUAUUUCUAGUACAUAUAUAAAGAAUUCUACUAUGACUAGAUUUACACUCAUCCUCCAUGUUAUUCA